RNAcentral lists this ribosomal RNA (225 nucleotides) under uncultured Acinetobacter sp. RNAcentral's name for it is "partial 16S ribosomal RNA". It matches the Rfam family "Bacterial small subunit ribosomal RNA", at positions 568 to 792 of the family's 1533-position model. The record is from RNAcentral. Lineage: Bacteria; Pseudomonadati; Pseudomonadota; Gammaproteobacteria; Moraxellales; Moraxellaceae.
UGCGCAGGCGGCUUGGCAAGAAAGAUGUGAAAUCCCCGAGCUUAACUUGGGAAUUGCAUUCGAUACUGGUUGGCUAGAGUGUGGGAGAGGAUGGUAGAAUUCCAGGUGUAGCGGUGAAAUGCGUAGAGAUCUGGAGGAAUACCGAUGGCGAAGGCAGCCAUCUGGCCUAACACUGACGCUGAGGUGCGAAAGCAUGGGGAGCAAACAGGAUUAGAUACCCCCGUA